AGUGAACGCUGGCGGUAGGCCUAACACAUGCAAGUCGAACGGCAGCACAGUAAGAGCUUGCUCUUACGGGUGGCGAGUGGCGGACGGGUGAGGAAUACAUCGGAAUCUACUUUUUCGUGGGGGAUAACGUAGGGAAACUUACGCUAAUACCGCAUACGACCUACGGGUGAAAGCAGGGGAUCUUCGGACCUUGCGCGAUUGAAUGAGCCGAUGUCGGAUUAGCUAGUUGGCGGGGUAAAGGCCCACCAAGGCGACGAUCCGUAGCUGGGCUGAGAGGAUGAUCAGCCACACUGGAACUGAGACACGGUCCAGACUCCUACGGGAGGCAGCAGUGGGGAAUAUUGGACAAUGGGCGCAAGCCUGCUCCAGCCAUACCGCGUGGGUGAAGAAGGCCUUCGGGUUGUAAAGCCCUUUUGUUGGGAAAGAAAAGCAGCAGGUUAAUACCCCGCUGUUCUGACGGUACCCAAAGAAUAAGCACCGGCUAACUUCGU
Molecule: ribosomal RNA, 491 nt
Filed under: uncultured bacterium
Lineage: Bacteria
Description: partial 16S ribosomal RNA
Rfam family: Bacterial small subunit ribosomal RNA
Source: RNAcentral